AGGAUUCCCCUAGUAACUGCGAGUGAAGCGGGAAAAGCUCAAAUUUAAAAUCUGGCAGUCUUUGGCUGUCCGAGUUGUAAUUUAGAGAAGCACUGCCUGCGCUGGACUGUGUACAAGUCUCCUGGAAUGGAGCGUCAUAGAGGGUGAGAAUCCCGUAUAUGACACAGUUGCCGGGGCUUAGUGGCAUGCUCUCCAAGAGUCGAGUUGUUUGGGAAUGCAGCUCAAAAUGGGUGGUAAAUUCCAUCUAAAGCUAAAUAUAGGCGAGAAACCGAUAGCGAACAAGUACCGUGAGGGAAAGAUGAAAAGAACUUUGGAAAGAGAGUUAAACAGUACGUGAAAUUGUUGAAAGGGAAACGCUUGAAGUCAGUCACAUUGCUGGAAAUCACACUUGCUUUGAUUGCUUGUGGCUCUUUCCUAGUAAUGGGUCAGCAUCAGUUUUGAUUGUUGGACAAGGGUUGGAGGAAUGUGGCAUCCUUGGAUGUGUUAUAGCCUCUGAUCAUAUGCAAUGAUGGAGACUGAGGAACUCGGCAUUUUGUGCUUAGGAUGCUGGCAUAAUGGCUUUAAUCGACCCGUCUUAAACACCCGG
This 586-nucleotide ribosomal RNA is filed under the name Tricholomopsis sp. RNAcentral describes it as "partial large subunit ribosomal RNA". It matches the Rfam family "Eukaryotic large subunit ribosomal RNA", at positions 71 to 664 of the family's 3401-position model. Lineage: Eukaryota; Fungi; Basidiomycota; Agaricomycetes; Agaricales. The record is from RNAcentral.